Long non-coding RNA from Chenopodium quinoa (quinoa), 1334 nucleotides. RefSeq lists it as uncharacterized. The transcript has 2 exons. The record is from RefSeq and is a predicted model, not a curated record. Lineage: Eukaryota; Viridiplantae; Streptophyta; Magnoliopsida; Caryophyllales; Amaranthaceae.
UAGCUUAACCGCACCUCUGCCCCACUAAUACCGGCGAAUUGAAACCCUCCUUCCCCUUUCUCCCUCCCCGAAAAACCAUCCCAAUUUCAAACCCCAGCCUCUUCGAACCACCACGAAGACCACUCGAAAACCAAUUUCGAACCCCAGCCUCUUCGAACCACCACGAAUACCACCCGAAACCCCAUUUAAAUUGGCUGAUUGAAUUGGAGCUUGUGGCUGCAUUUUAGGGUUGAAUUGAUGCUUGUGGUUGCGAUUUGUGGGGCUACGACAUCACGGUGGCUCGGAGGUUAGGGUAAUUGUGGAAUUAGUGAAGUGGUGGUUGUUGUGGGAUAUGUUGGGCGAAUUUUGAGGUUGUGCGAUGGUUGAUUUAUGCGGCAACAACUGAUUUGGAGGAGGUGCACUGGGGUUGUUUAUGUGGCUGGGCGAUGUGGCUGGGUGUUGUGGGGUUGUUGAAUUUGUUGUGAUGGUGGUGAUGGUGGUAAGGCGCGACGGUCAGCUGGGUCACUGGUUGUGAUGGGGUUUAGGAUUUGUUAGGGCUGGCAAAAGCUGACCCGACCCGACAACCCGACCCGAACCCAACCCGAAAUAAAUGGGUUUUGAUAGAGAUUUUCAACCCGUUUAUGUAAUUGGGUCAACCCGAACCCGACCUGAAGUUAAAUGGGUCGGGUUCAGGUUGAAAAUCCCAACCCGAAACCAACCCGCAUAAACCCGUUUAUUUAAUUGGGUCGGUUUCAGGUCGGGUCAACCCGAACCCAACCCGCUUAACUUAAAACCCUAAUUUAAAAAUAUGGGCCAAGCCCAAAUUAUCUAACCCUAAGCUUUUCCUCUUUCACUCGCCGCUUUCUUUCAGACUUUCACUCAAACUCUCUCUCUUCUCAGUUUCUCUCUCUUCUCUCCUCUCUUUUCUCUCUCUAACUCUUGAAGAUUGAAAUAAAAAUUCUUGAACCUUGAAGAUUGAAGCUUCAUCUCAAACAUUCUGAAGAUGGCUAAUAGCCCUAAUCCUGAUGAACCCAUUGAUCUUCCGGAUUCUGAUUCAGAUGAUGAAGUUUCUGAUUCUCAUCAAACGGAAUCAAAGAAGAAAACCUCUAAUGUCACCUCGCUGAAUAAGCCUGGAAUUCAUUUCAAGCGCCAACGAAAGCUCACUUCAGAUGUGUGGGCAAAUUUUGAAUUCCUUGAUAAACCUGACGAACAAGGUAACAUCAUUUGCAUGUGUAAAAAAUGUGGGCAGAAAUAUAAUGCUGAAAGUAGGCAAGGAACUGGUAAUUUAAAACGCCACAUUAAGAAAUGUAAAAAAAGGACCUUUAAAGAUGUGGGUCAGAUGAUUAUUGAUUCAA